AAAAUUUUAAGUUAUAACUAAACUUUAAGCCUUCAAAGCUUAGUAAAUAAUCUCUCUUUAUAAAUUUUA
RNAcentral lists this transfer RNA (69 nucleotides) under Stenamma diecki. Its description in RNAcentral is "tRNA-Trp". The record is from RNAcentral. Lineage: Eukaryota; Metazoa; Arthropoda; Insecta; Hymenoptera; Formicidae.